CAACCAUCAAGCCCCCGGCUUGUGUUGGGGACCUGCGGCUGCCGCAGGCCCUGAAAACCAGUGGCUGGCUCGCUAGUCACUCCGAGCGUAGUAAUACAUCUCGCUCAGGGCGUGCUGCGGGUUCCGGCCGUUAAAAAGCCUUAUUUACCCAA
RNAcentral lists this unclassified non-coding RNA (152 nucleotides) under uncultured Chaetomiaceae. RNAcentral describes it as "sequence contains ITS2". The record is from RNAcentral. Lineage: Eukaryota; Fungi; Ascomycota; Sordariomycetes; Sordariales.